Non-coding RNA from Pelobates cultripes (western spadefoot toad), 367 nucleotides. Lineage: Eukaryota; Metazoa; Chordata; Amphibia; Anura; Pelobatidae. The record is from the annotation of a GenBank genome assembly.
AUGUGUAUUCCCAGAGAGUAUACCCAAAAAAAGGGCUAAGGAAAUACACUAACAAAGUGUGUUAGCUCAAAUAGAUUAAGAUAAAGAAUUUAUUACAAUAACCAAACAGGUAUUAAAAGUUUCAAACACUUGUGCACAUUAACAAACUGACUUUUACAAAAAAGAGUGGCGAGUUUGGCACGGCUUCCGCCGCUACUCACUGCCCAGCUUGUUCAGAUAUGGUGCUGGAGAUGCUGAAUUACGGCUUCACAAAGCUGGAUUUCAGCUUAGUUCAAGCUACAGAUGUCUCCGCCCUUUUAAUACCUAUUUGGUUAUCGUAAAAAAAUUCUUUAUCUUAAUUUAUUUGAGCUAACUCACUUUGUUAGUG